Long non-coding RNA from Hemicordylus capensis (graceful crag lizard), 2633 nucleotides. RefSeq lists it as uncharacterized. The record is from RefSeq and is a predicted model, not a curated record. NCBI's taxonomy places the organism in Eukaryota, Metazoa, Chordata, Lepidosauria, Squamata, Cordylidae. The transcript has 3 exons.
CUCUCGGGAGACAUUUGCAAGAGGAAAGAAUGGAGCCUUGUGUGCUGGGCCCGGCUAUUUGAUCUGGGGCUUCCUCCUGCUUCCACCACCCCUAUGCCACUAAGGAAGAACCUAGGCAGAAGGACGGUGGGCUGUGCUACCUUGCCUACUCAGGCUUUUUAGUGAGGAACCCAGUGUGUGGGGUCCUGAUGCCAUCUUGCAGGACCAGAACAAACCAUUUUGCUGCUCCAAGGAGCUGUUCUGGGGGUGUAACUCCAGUGCUGCAGAGGUGUGACUCUGGAAAGCUGUGUCUUCAGCACCCUCUGCAACAUUGCAAGAAGUGCUGGGGUACUCUACUCAGAUCACACACAACAGUUUCACUGUCACCACCAAAAAUAUUAUCAUGGUGAAUAAAAUAAUGACCAAAUUUUGCAAUGCAGUCUGCAAGCUUUCAAGUUGCACAGAACUAUUCUUCAGGCUGGAUGUUAAAAACAAUUCUUAUAUCUAGUUUCAAAAGAGUUGGAAAUGUUAUGAUCCCUAUGAAUGCAUAACCAGAGCACCUGUGAGCAAGAGGGAGGUACCAACAGACUCAAUGUAACCUGCAGAUAUGUUGGUUUCACAAACAUCUGGAGGAAAAAAUCCUGGAGGCCAAAAAAGCAAAACAAAACCCAGACUGCCCCACUGUAACUUAAUGGAGCAGAAUGUUCAUGGGCUGAGAGAACACUUAAAAGACAACCAGGUAGAAGGAGCUCGUGGAGCUCAGUGGCAAGGAUAGGAGAAGGAGGGCUUGAACCAAAAGAGCAAGAAGUUUCUCAGCUUGAAGAAUACUCCUUCAAGACAGUCACAACAGGAUGAAAAGGAGCUAGGAUUGAGCACCAUUCCUCACCACAAGGAACCCCCAGAAAACAUAAAAUAUAAAAUUUGUAUAUGAAGUAAGACCCAAGUUACAGCAGGGCCUCCUAACUUUGUUGCUAACUGUUGUUUUUUCAUCAUGCUCAGCCAUAAGCUCAGGUAAUACAUGCACACUGCAGGUGGGGGGCUGGUAUCCAUUUUGUUGUGGGGCCAUUCUUGUAAAUAAAUACAAAGGAGGGGAAGGAGAUAUUUUUGACAUAGUGUUCACUUAGAAAAAUGUUUGUUUUUAGUUAUUAAAAUAUUAUUUAUUAAUAACAACAAUAAAAUAGUGCUAUAAAGUAAAUUAUAAUAAAAAGUGUUUGAUAGCACAGUGUGUGCUUUCAUGUUUCACAAAAGUCUCCAGCUAAAUAAUAAUAAUAAUAAUAAUAAUAAUAAUAAUAAGAAGAAGAAGAAGAAGAAGAAGAAGAAGGCAAUGGCUUAAGAAUGGCAACUUGAAGAAAGAAACAGAGGGUUUAAUACUGGCUGCAGAAGAACAGGCACUAAGAAUAAAUGCAAUAAGAGCUAAAGUCGAAAAAUCCACAACAAACAGCAAGUGCCGCCUUUGUAAAGAAGCAGAUGAAACAGUGGACCACCUAAUCAGCUGUUGUAAAAAGAUUGCACAGACUGACUACAAACAAAGGCAUGACAAGGUAGCAGGAAUGAUACACUGGAACAUCUGCAAAAAAUACAAGCUACCUGUAGCCAAAAAUUGGUGGGACCAUAAAAUUGAAAAAGUUGAAGAAAAUGAAGAUGUAAAAAUAUUAUGGGACUUCCGACUACAAACAAACAUCUGCCACACAAUACACCAGAUAUAAUUGUAGUUGAGAAGAAAGAAAAACAAGUGAAAAUAAUCGGCAUAGCAAUACCAGGGGAUAGCAGAAUAGAAGAAAAAGAAAUAGAAAAAAAAUCACCAAAUACAAAGAUCUACAAAUUGAAAUUGAAAGGCUGUGGCAGAAAAAGACCAAAAUAAUCCCAGUGGUAAUUGGCGCCCUGGGUGCAGUUCCAAAAGACCUUGAAGAGCACCUCAACACCAUAGGGGUCACAAAAAUCACCAUCAGCCAAUUACAAAAAGCAACUUUAUUGGUAACAGCCUAUAUUCUGCGACGAUAUCUAUAACAACAGCAACAACAUUGACAAUAAAAUUCAGCCAUCCCAGGUCCUUGGGAAGGACUCGAUGUCUGGGUAAAACAAACCAGUCAAUAACACCUGUCUGACUGUGUAAAUAAAUAAAUAAAUAAAUAACUAUCAUCCCAGGUCCUUGGGAAGGACUUGAUGUCUGGAUAAAACAAACCAGUCAAUAACACCUGUCUGACUGUGUAAGCAAGAAAUAAUAAUAUAAUAUUUAGCUGAAGAAGACUUUUGUGGAACUUGACAGCACACAAAAUGCAUUCUGAUCAUUGGUUAAUCCUAAUAAAAUAUUUCAAGGGAAAUGGCAAAUAUAUAAAAUAUCCAACCUGAACAAUAGUUCUGUGCAACCUGAAAGUUUCCAGGUUGUAUUGUGAAUUCUAGUGGUUGGUUGUAAAAACAAACAAACAACAAAAAACCUUUAAAGUAUUUGCUCCUUCUCUCAACAAGUAAGUGUUUAGCUGCUCAUGCAGUCAAGGUGGCCCAGUGAUUAACUAUCCACUUUUGAAGAGACACGCCUUGCCGAGACAUAGGAACAUAGGACGUAGUCUUACUUGCCUUAUAACAAGCCAGACCAUUCGAUCAUCUAACUCUGAAUUGUCUACACUGACUAGGGAUGUGCAUGGAACCAGGUGCGG